GAUGAACGCUAGCGGCAGGCUUAAUACAUGCAAGUCGAGGGGCAGCAGGGGUGUAGCAAUACACUCGCUGGCGACCGGCAAACGGGUGCGGAACACGUACGCAACUUACCCAAAACUGGGGAAUAGCCCGGGGAAACCCGGAUUAAUACCUCGUAACAUAAUGGAGUGGCAUCACUUUAUUAUUAUAGCUCCGGCGGUUUUGGAUGGGCGUGCGCCUGAUUAGGUAGUUGGCGGGGUAACGGCCCACCAAGCCUACGAUCAGUAACUGGUGUGAGAGCACGACCAGUCACACGGGCACUGAGACACGGGCCCGACUCCUACGGGAGGCAGCAGUAAGGAAUAUUGGUCAAUGGACGCAAGUCUGAACCAGCCAUGCCGCGUGAAGGAUGAAGGUCCUCUGGAUU
This 404-nucleotide ribosomal RNA is filed under the name uncultured bacterium. RNAcentral describes it as "bacterial SSU rRNA". It matches the Rfam family "Bacterial small subunit ribosomal RNA", at positions 28 to 424 of the family's 1533-position model. The record is from RNAcentral.